This 484-nucleotide ribosomal RNA is filed under the name uncultured bacterium. Its description in RNAcentral is "partial 16S ribosomal RNA". It matches the Rfam family "Bacterial small subunit ribosomal RNA", at positions 30 to 507 of the family's 1533-position model. The record is from RNAcentral.
AUUGAACGCUGGCGGCAGGCCUAACACAUGCAAGUCGAGCGGAUGAAGGGAGCUUGCUCCUGGAUUCAGCGGCGGACGGGUGAGUAAUGCCUAGGAAUCUGCCUGGUAGUGGGGGAUAACGUCCGGAAACGGGCGCUAAUACCGCAUACGUCCUGAGGGAGAAAGUGGGGGAUCUUCGGACCUCACGCUAUCAGAUGAGCCUAGGUCGGAUUAGCUAGUUGGUGGGGUAAAGGCCUACCAAGGCGACGAUCCGUAACUGGUCUGAGAGGAUGAUCAGUCACACUGGAACUGAGACACGGUCCAGACUCCUACGGGAGGCAGCAGUGGGGAAUAUUGGACAAUGGGCGAAAGCCUGAUCCAGCCAUGCUGCGUGUGUGAAGAAGGUCUUCGGAUUGUAAAGCACUUUAAGUUGGGAGGAAGGGCAGUAAGUUAAUACCUUGCUGUUUUGACGUUACCAACAGAAUAAGCACCGGCUAACUUCAUG